CAACGUCUUGGUCCUAAACUUAAAGUGAUUUUUAGCCGAAAUUACACAUGCAAGUCUCCGCAAUCCAGUGCUUAUGCCCACCCAAUUAAACCCCGAGCGAGCAUCAGGCGCAUCUCCAAUGAUAGCCAAAGACGCUUAGCCCACCGCCACUCCCCCACGGGCCCCAGCAGUGAUAGACAUUAGGCACUGAGCCCACCCCACAUUUAAGCUCGACCUAGUCACGGCUAAUAAAGAGUCGGUAAACUCCGUGCCAGCCACCGCGGUUAUACGACGGACCCAAAAUAACACGACACGGCGUAAAAUGUGGCCAGGCACACAGUUCAAUUACCCUGAUGCCAGAGACAAAAUAUAGUGGUAAAAUACUGUACAAAAAAAACACCAACACUGGCAUCAAAUUAAACCAACCAAGCUGACCCCACGAAAGCUAAGAACCAAACUAGGAUUAGAUACCCUACUAUGCUUAGCCUUAAACCUAGAUAGUACCACAACCCACUAUCCGCCAGAGAAUUACAAGCGAAAAGCUUAAAACUCAAAGGACUUGACGGUGUCCCACAUCACCCUAGAGGAGCCUGUCCUAUAAUCGAUGACCCACGUUUAACCUUACCUGGUCUUGACAUUUUCCCCAGCCUAUAUACCGCCGUCUCCAGCCUACCUAAUGAUAGAUAUAAUAGUAGGCAAAAUUAGCCCCACGCUAAAACGUCAGGUCAAGGUGUAGCAAAUGACCAGGCAGAGAUGGGCUACAUUUUCUAACACUAGACCACCAACCAACGGCAACAUGAAACCUAAGCCCCAAAGGAGGAUUUAGCAGUAAUUUGGAUUAGACCCUCCAAAUGAAUCCCGCUCUGGGACGAGUACACACCGCCCGUCACCCUCAUCAACCCACCACUAAAAAAUUAAAUAAAACCCAAACCCACCCCAAGAUGAGACAAGUCGUAACAUGGUAAGCGUACUGGAAGGUGCGCUUGGCACA
Molecule: non-coding RNA, 970 nt
Filed under: Agamura persica
Lineage: Eukaryota; Metazoa; Chordata; Lepidosauria; Squamata; Gekkonidae
Description: 12S ribosomal RNA
Rfam family: Bacterial small subunit ribosomal RNA
Source: RNAcentral